UACGUAGGGUGCGAGCGUUGUCCGGAAUUAUUGGGCGUAAAGAGCUUGUAGGCGGUUUGUCGCGUCUGCCGUGAAAAUUCGAGGCUCAACCUCGAACUUGCGGUGGGUACGGGCAGACUAGAGUGUGGUAGGGGAGACUGGAAUUCCUGGUGUAGCGGUGAAAUGCGCAGAUAUCAGGAGGAACACCGAUGGCGAAGGCAGCUUGCUGGGACGGUACUGACGCUGAGACGCGAAAGCGUGGGGAGCAAACAGG
This 253-nucleotide ribosomal RNA is filed under the name uncultured bacterium. RNAcentral's name for it is "partial 16S ribosomal RNA". It matches the Rfam family "Bacterial small subunit ribosomal RNA", at positions 524 to 776 of the family's 1533-position model. The record is from RNAcentral.